GUCCUCGCGUGAGAAUCCUCCUGAGUCAGUCAGCGAUAGUGUCGAGGACAAGCUUUCACAAGCCGAAGAACCGGACAGCAAGACUACUAUGCAUAGUUCAGAUGACACCGGUGACUUGCACACUCUACUGAUUUUUGGUGACAACAACUGUUGACUUCAAACACUUUGAAAAAAGUUAAUCUGAACCUACAAGCUGUAAUAGCCAGGGAAUGAGAUACUCACUUCGCGAUAACAGUCCCAGAACACCUAAAUCUUCCGGAGAAGAGGAAUUUAUGGUUCUCUUAUCAGAAGAAACUAAUUUCUUCAGGCCUUGCUCAGACUCGAAGACGCUGUGGGGAUUAGCAGAAGGAGUUGACAUACAGUGUAUGGUUUUUAGGGUUAUUCCUUUGUUCACAAAACAUGCUUUUUGUGACUUAGUGUCCGAGAGCAUCCAGACGUCCGUAAUUCUUUGCUUUUUAUUGUCUUGUAAUUGUCGUAACUCUAAAUUUUUAUUACUCUAAUUGUAUUACU
Vidua chalybeata is the source of this 510-nucleotide long non-coding RNA. RefSeq lists it as uncharacterized. Lineage: Eukaryota; Metazoa; Chordata; Aves; Passeriformes; Viduidae. The transcript is spliced from 3 exons. The record is from RefSeq and is a predicted model, not a curated record.